CCUGACUGCUAUCGGAUUGAUACUAAGCCAUGCGAGUCAUUGUAGUAAUACAAGGCAGACGGCUCAGUAACGCGUAGUCAACCUACCCUAUGGACGUGGAUAACCUCGGGAAACUGAGAAUAAUACACGAUAGAACAUUAUGCCUGGAAUGGUUUAUGUUCCAAAUGAUUUAUCGCCGUAGGAUGGGACUGCGGCCUAUCAGUUUGUUGGUGAGGUAAUGGCCCACCAAGACUAUUACAGGUACGGGCUCUGAGAGGAGUGGCCCGGAGAUGGGUACUGAGACACGGACCCAGGCCCUAUGGGGCGCAGCAGGCGAGAAAACUUUGCAAUGUGCGAAAGCACGACAAGGUUAAUCCGAGUGGUUUCUGCUAAAGGAACCUUUUGACAGUCCUAGAAACACUGUUGAAUAAGGGGUGGGCAAGUUCUGGUGUCAGCCGCCGCGGUAAAACCAGCACCUCAAGUUGUCAGGAUGAUUAUUGGGCCUAAAGCAUCCGUAGCCGGCUCUGUUAGUUUUCGGCUAAAUCUGUGCGCUUAACGUACAGGUUGCCGGGAAUACUGCAGAGCUAGGGAGUGGGAGAGGUAGACGGUACUCGGUAGGAAGGGGUAAAAUCCUUUGAUCUAUUGAUGACCACCUGUGGCGAAGGCGGUCUACCAGAACACGUCCGACGGUGAGGGAUGAAAGCUGGGGGAGCAAACCGGAUUAGAUACCCGGGUAGUCCCAGCUGUAAACUAUGCAAACUCAGUGAUGCAUUGGCUUGUGGCCAAUGCAGUGCUGCAGGGAAGCCGUUAAGUUUGCCGCCUGGGAAGUACGUACGCAAGUAUGAAACUUAAAGGAAUUGGCGGGGGAGCACCACAAGGGGUGAAGCCUGCGGUUC
Molecule: ribosomal RNA, 875 nt
Filed under: uncultured crenarchaeote
Lineage: Archaea; Thermoproteati; Thermoproteota
Description: bacterial SSU rRNA
Rfam family: Archaeal small subunit ribosomal RNA
Source: RNAcentral